RNAcentral lists this ribosomal RNA (253 nucleotides) under uncultured bacterium. RNAcentral's name for it is "partial 16S ribosomal RNA". It matches the Rfam family "Bacterial small subunit ribosomal RNA", at positions 524 to 776 of the family's 1533-position model. The record is from RNAcentral.
UACAGAGACCCCGAGCGUUAUCCGGAAUUAUUGGGCGUAAAGAGCGAGUAGUCGGUAGUGUUAGUCUGACGUUAAAUUCCGAGGCUCAACUUCGGAACCGCGUUGGAAACGGCACCACUAGAGCAGGUAAGAGGCAAGCGGAACGUGCAGUGUAGGGGUGAAAUCCAUUGAUAUUGCACGGAACACCAAAAGCGAAGGCAGCUUGCUAGUGCUUUGCUGACGAUCAAUUGCGAAAGCGUGGGGAUCAAAAAGG